RNAcentral lists this ribosomal RNA (253 nucleotides) under uncultured bacterium. RNAcentral's name for it is "partial 16S ribosomal RNA". It matches the Rfam family "Bacterial small subunit ribosomal RNA", at positions 524 to 776 of the family's 1533-position model. The record is from RNAcentral.
UACAGAGGUCCCAAGCGUUGUUCGGAUUUACUGGGCGUAAAGGGUGCGUAGGUGGUCGGGUAAGUCUCAUGUGAAAUCUCCAAGCUCAACUUGGAAAUGGCAUGGGACACUAUUCGGCUAGAGGAUUGGAGGGGGGACUGGAAUUCCCGGUGUAGCAGUGAAAUGCGUAGAUAUCGGGAGGAACACCAGUGGCGAAGGCGAGUCCCUGGACAAUUCCUGACGCUGAGGCACGAAAGCUAGGGGAGCAAACAGG